This 380-nucleotide ribosomal RNA is filed under the name uncultured bacterium. RNAcentral describes it as "partial 16S ribosomal RNA". It matches the Rfam family "Bacterial small subunit ribosomal RNA", at positions 338 to 732 of the family's 1533-position model. The record is from RNAcentral.
CCUACGGGAGGCAGCAGUGGGGAAUAUUGGGCAAUGGAGGCAACUCUGACCCAGCAACGCCGCGUAAAUGAUGAAGGUCCUCGGAUUGUAAAGUCCUGUGUUGCGGGAUGCACACAAUGACGGUACUCCAAUAGUAAGCCUCGGCUAACUACGUGCCAGCAGUCGCGUGAAUACGGAGGCGGCAAUCGUUCUCCGGAAUGACUGGGCGUCAAGGGUGCGUAGGUGGUUUAGUAAGUCGGCGGUGUAAUUCCGGGGCUCAACCUCGGCGCUACCGCCAAAACUAGUAGACUAGAGUGCGGGAGAAGUAAGUGGAAUGCGUGGUGUAGCGGUGGAAUGCAUAGAUAUUGGGAAGAACAUCGAGGGCGAAGGCGACAUACUGG